RNAcentral lists this long non-coding RNA (771 nucleotides) under Homo sapiens (human). Its description in RNAcentral is "long non-coding RNA NONHSAT168189.1". Lineage: Eukaryota; Metazoa; Chordata; Mammalia; Primates; Hominidae. The record is from RNAcentral.
GCAGAUGGCCAGGCUGCUAGGCCUCUGUGCCUGGGCACGGAAGUCGGUGCGGAUGGCCAGCUCCAGGAUGACCCGCCGGGACCCGCUCACAAAUAAGGUGGCCCUGGUAACGGCCUCCACCGACGGGAUCGGCUUCGCCAUCGCCCGGCGUUUGGCCCAGGACAGGGCCCACGUGGUCGUCAGCAGCCGGAAGCAGCAGAAUGUGGACCAGGCGGUGGCCACGCUGCAGGGGGAGGGGCUGAGCGUGACGGGCACUGUGUGCCAUGUGGGGAAGGCGGAGGACCGGGAGCGGCUGGUGGCCAUGGCUGUGAAGCUUCAUGGAGGUAUCGAUAUCCUAGUCUCCAAUGCUGCUGUCAACCCUUUCUUUGGAAGCCUAAUGGAUGUCACCGAGGAGGUGUGGGACAAGGUUAUUUAUUUAUUUUUGUGAUGGAGCCUCACUCUGUUACCCAGGCUGGAGUGCAGUGGUGCUAUCUCAGCUCACUGCAACCUCCACCUCCCGGGUUCAAGCUAUUCUGCUGUCUCAUCCUCCUGAGUAGCUUGGAUUACAAACACAUGCCACCACGUCUGGCUAAUUUUUGUAUUUUUAGUACAGACGAGGUUUGCCAUGUUGCCCAGGCUGUUCUCGAACUCCUGACCUAAAAGUGAUCCACCCAUCUUGGCCUCCCGAAGUGCAGGGAUUGCAGGCAUGAGCCACCAUGCCCAGCCCUGAGUUUUUUUUUUUUUAAUUUACAUUUUUUUAUUUUUGUUCUUUGUAAUUUUUGAUUUUAUUAU